AGACUUGGAACCAACCCAAAUGUCCAUCAAUGAUAGACUGGAUUAAGAAAAUGUGGCACAUAUACACCAUGGAAUACUAUGCAGCCAUAAAAAAGGAUGAGUUUAUGUCCUUUGUAGGGACAUGGAUGAAGCUGGAAACCAUCAUUCUGAGAAAACUAUCGCAAGGACAGAAAACCAAACACUACAUGCUCUCACUCAUAGAUGGGAAUUGAACAAUGAGAACACUUGGACACAAGAGACAGGGUCCCACUCUGUUUUCUAGACUGGAGUGCAGUGGCAUGAUCAUAGCUCACUGUAGCCUCAAACUCCUGAGCGCAAGUGAUCCUCCUUCCUCAGCCUACUGAGUGGCUAGGACUAUAGAAAAUGUUUGCUGACCCGUGCUCUGAAAUAUCUCAUAUCAGCGACUGUCCGUAUGUCCUCAAGUCCUACCCCUGUAUUGCAGUGGUUUUGCUACGGCCUUAGGGCUUUCUUCUGGGCUGAGCACCCUGCCUGUGUUCCCAGCAGGUGGGAAGGGUCCACAAAUCAACACUUCUAGCGAGCAGCCCUCAAACCAUGAGAGCCAAUGGAUAAAUACCCCAGCUCUCUUGCCCCUGGGUUGGGCAUGUUCUACACCAACUUCAAGUCUCACACAGUGGUAACUGCUUUGAUAAAACACACUUCACUGACUUCCCACUCUGCUAGUGUCUCCUGAGAUCUCCCAAAUCAACAACUUGCAGGGGAAUCUUGGUUGCAGAGUAUGUUGCUAGGGGAAAUCCAAACUAAGACAAAUGUGGAUUAUUCUCACAUAUAUUAUUUAUGGUGUCACUUUGAUGUAUAAGUUACUCAGGUGUGAUGAAAAAUUUAUAACCAAACAUUUGGGCCAUUUUUUUUAUUACUACUAAUGGAAAGACAGAUUUUAUUAAUUGAUAGUUUUAUUUUGUAUGACAUUUAUUGGCCAAAUUUAUCCUGAAAGGUGCAGUUUGAUAAUUUUCUGAUAUUUUGAACAUAAAUGCCUAUUUGAGGAGAGUGAUUCUUGAAGUAUUGAAUUAAUCUUUCAUAUUGCAAAGUCUUUCAUCUUUUGUAAAAUUUAUAUUUUCUUGUUUUUUUUUAGGCAUUAAAGUUUUUAUUUUUCUGACAAAACGUUUGAUUUAAGCACUUAUUAUUUCUUUUUUUUUGUUUUUUUGUUUUUCUUUUUUUUAAUUUUUUUUAUUUUUAUUAUUAUUAUUAUACUUUAGGUUUUAUGGUACAUGUGCGCAAUGUGCAGGCCAUAAAAAAUGAUGAGUUCAUGUCCUUUGUAGGGACAUGGAUGAAAUUGGAAAUCAUCAUUCUCAGUAAACUAUCGCAAGAACAAAAAACCAAACAUCGCAUAUUCUCACUCAUAGGUGGGAAUUGAACAAUGAGAACACAUGGACACAGGAAGGGGAACAUCACACUUCGGGGACUGUUGUGGGGUGGGGGGAGGGGGGAGGGAUAGCAUUGGGAAAUAUACCUAAUGCUAGAUGACGAGUUAGUGGGUGCAGCGCACCAGCAUGGCACAGGUAUUUUCUUGUUUUAUACUAAUAAAAUUUUCUGCUACGUCCUCAGAAAACUUCUGUUCAAAUUUUAUUUUGCAUCAAUAAUAGAUGGAAGCAAACCUAUCUAAGAGGCAGCCAAGGUAAUUUUUUUCAUAUGAUGAUUAGCAAUAGGUUCAGGAUGUUUAAAAAUAAGUAUUUCAAAAUCUGUGGAAAUGUUCAUAUUUUUUCUUUUUAUAUCCCUCAUUUCCCCUGCCUAGUGGUUAAAAUCAGUUAAAUAGCGUUAGACUACACCUCUGCCAUUUAUCCUUUGUUCAAGACUGCAUAGGUGUCUAUACCUUGAAUAUAACUUUAAUAUUACUAUUUAAGUUACAUCACAUAUUUUAUCCAUUUGCUUCGUGAACCUAAUACUUGAUGUCCCUUGACCAUUACAAGGAGUAGAACAGAUAAUUUAAGAGAUAUCAUUGAAAAAAACCCUGAGUAGUAAAAUAUUUGAUUUAUUUUGGCCACAUUAAUGUUUUAUUGUUUAAACAAAUAAAUAGACUGCCUCAAAUUACUA
Molecule: long non-coding RNA, 2049 nt
Organism: Pongo pygmaeus (Bornean orangutan)
Lineage: Eukaryota; Metazoa; Chordata; Mammalia; Primates; Hominidae
Exons: 3
Source: RefSeq, a predicted model, not a curated record